AUUAUCACUCACACUCCACUUCGCCUCCAUUCACCUUUAUUUUUUUGUUAGGUUCAGUUUUAAUCAUUUUGGAUUUAUUGGGUGUCAAAAUAAAGUUGAUUAGCAUUCUGGGUGUCAGCUGAAACCUACAUUGCAGAUCUUCAUUUGGGCUUUUUCAGUUUGAUUUUAACUUCUUGAUAGAAACCCUAAUCAAGAUCAUGAUUUAGCUAAUGCUUUCCGAAGUAUGAAAUAUGGGAUCCAACAGAACUAUCUAUUCAGAAUUCCAGGGUGCAGGAUCAAAGCUCGGCCUAGAAAUCUGGUGUGUAGAGAGCCUUCAGUUGGUUCCAGUCCCACAAUCUUCACAUGGAAAAUUCUUCUCGGGGAGUACAUACGUCGUUCUGCAUACUGCUUUGCUCAAGAGCGGUGCUCUUCAACAUGACAUACAUUAUUGGCUCGGGAAAGAUGCCAACGAGGUUGACUCAACUUUUGCAUCAGACAAAACGCUUGAAUUAGACGCAGCCUUAGGGUCUAAAUCUGUUCAAUAUAAAGAAGUUCAAGGUCAAGAAACCGGGAAGUUUUUGUCGUAUUUUAAACCGUGCAUAAUCCCGGUUGAAGGCGUAUAUUCUUCGGGGCAAGUAGGAUUAAAAGGCCCGGCUUAUGAAACCAAAUUGUUAACAUGCAAGGGUGAUCGAGUGGUUCAUGUUAAAGAAGUGCCAUUUUCACGGUCGUCUUUGAACCACCGAGAUGUAUUUAUACUUGACACGUCAUCAAAAAUAUUCCAAUUUAACGGGUGUAAUUCCAGCAUACAAGAAAGGGCUAAAGGUUUAGAGGUGGUUCAGUAUAUUAAAGAAUACAAGCACAAAGGGAACUGUGAAGUGGCAGCCAUAGAGGAUGGAAAAUUUGUCGGUGACGCUGAAGUUGGAGAAUUUUGGAACUUUUUUGGUGGUUAUGCUCCGAUUCCGAAAGAUCCACCCGUGGCUCAACCGCCUCAAACUUUAGAUGUCAAAUUAUUUUGGAUAACACUUCAAGGAAAAUUUACCCAAAGUGGAAGUGGUCAGUUGAAAAGGUCCAUGCUUGAAUCAAAUAAAUGCUACAUGUUGGAUGGAGAUGUUCAAAUAUUUGUAUGGAUGGGAAGUAUUACGUCUAUAACAGAACGAAAAACUUCUGUCUCAGCAGUAGAGGAUUUCCUUCGAGCUCAAGAAAAACCCGUAAAUACCCAGUUAGCCGUUUUGAAAGAAGGAUCAGAAACCGGCAUUUUCAAGUCAUAUUUUGACGACUGGCCGCUAACAGUGGAGCCCAAGCUUUAUGAAGAAGGCCGAGGCAAAGUAGCAGCAAUGUUCAAGCAAACCGGUUACGAUGUUGAUGAGCUUCCCGAUGAAGAUGAAAAACCGCAUAUCAUUUGCAAUGGUACACUAAAGGUUUGGAGAGUGAAUAAUGGUAAAUUAUCCCCUGUUCCUGUUGUGGAUCAAAGAAAACUUUAUAGUGGAGAUUGUUAUACUGUUCAGUAUAUAUAUUCCGCAAAUGGACGAGAGGAACGCCUGUUUUAUAUUUGGCUAGGAAAUAAAAGCUCUCCGGAAGACAGGGCUGAUGCAGUUUCGCUUACAAAUGUUAUUGUUAGUUCAAAUAAAGGAGAGCCUGUUUUGGCUCGAAUCGUUGAGAACAAAGAACCAAGUCAAUUCUUCAUGAUAUUUCAGACACUAAUCAUGUUUAAGGGUGGUAUGGGUUCAAGAUACAAAUCAUAUAUUGCUGAUAAAGGCCUUGAUGAUGAAACUUAUGACGAUAAAAAGACGGCCCUUUUCCGAAUUCAAGGAACAAAUCGUGAUAAUAUGCAGGCUGUUCAAGUUGAUCAAGUUUGUAGAUCUUUAAACUCUUCCUAUUGCUACAUUUUGAAGGCUGCGGGAUCUGUUUUCACUUGGCUUGGAAAUCUCUCCACUACCCGGGAUCAUGAUCUUCUUUACGGAAUGUUAGAUUUGAUAAAUCCAACAUGGCAACCGAUAUUAAUUAGAGAAGGUAGCGAACCCGAUGUUUUCUGGGAUGUACUUGGUGGAAAGACAGAAUAUCCAAAGGAAAGAGAAGUAAAACGAUUCAUUGAAGAUCCACAUUUGUUUGUUUGUACGUUCACAGAAGGUGCGGGUUCUCAAUCAAGUGAUCUCAAGGUAAAAGAGAUAUUCAGUUACACUCAGGACGAGUUAACUACGGAAGACGUGUUAAUACUCGACUGUCACACUGAAAUUUACGUGUGGGUAGGCCAUAAUUCAGUUGUCAAGUCAAAGCAACAGGCUCUUUUUAUUGGCUUGGCGUUCCUUGAAAAAGAUGUUUUGGGAGAAUGUUUAUCCGUAGAUACUCCUAUAUACGUUGUUACAGAAGGGCAUGAACCUCCGUUUUUCACUCGCUUUUUUGACUGGGAUGCUUCAAAGGCAAAUUAAAUCUUUUAAAGGUUGAUACGCAUUUGGACUUGUUUUGGUAGAUGCUAGGCAACUCAUUCGAGCGAAAGCUGGCUAUAUUAAAAGGGCAGACACAGAAACUUGAAGCGCCUUCAAGAAAUUCACCGAGUGUAACGCCAAACGGGAUGAGAAGACCGUCUCCUACUCCUAACGGGUCAAGAAGACCAUCUCCAGCUUCUAAUGGGUUGACCCGAAGACAGUCUCUUGAUUCCUACACGGUUAGAAGCACAUCUCCUACCUUUUCAGGGUUGGAUUUUAAUCCCACCAACAAUCGUCGGUUUUCGAGUCCUCCAAUUCACAGAAUGAUCCCUUCAGCAUCUUCAUCUUCCCCUGAUGUUCGCAGUGCAGAUAACACGCAUGUUUCCGCAAGUUCCACAGCAGAAGCGGAAAUCCUUCCAUCCAAAGAUUCUGGUCCUAAGCAGGAGUUGGUCAACUAUCCAUACGAUCGAGUAAAAGUCAACUCAAAAGAUCCAGUUCGUGAUGUAGACAUCACAAAGCGAGAGGCGUAUCUAUCUGACGAGGAGUUCCAAGAGAAAUUCGCCAUGUCAAAACGAGUUUUUUACCAGCUUCCCAGGUGGAAACAAAACAAGCUUAAGAUGUCCCUUUAUCUCUUCUAGAGCUUUAUCUUUGAUAUUGUUAACGGCUAUGUAUUAACGUUUUAUGAUCCGAUUUGUAGUUUGCUAUACGUGUUAGAAGUAUAAUUUCAGUUUAACUUGUAGCAUUGAGUUAUGUUGUGUUUAUUUGUCUUGAGGACAAACUUGUUGAUAGGAUGAAGGACUGGAUGUGCAUGAAUCUAAAAGCUCAAAGGCUUCAUAUGGAAA
Molecule: RNA transcript, 3244 nt
Organism: Helianthus annuus (common sunflower)
Lineage: Eukaryota; Viridiplantae; Streptophyta; Magnoliopsida; Asterales; Asteraceae
Gene name: villin-1
Exons: 22
Source: RefSeq, a predicted model, not a curated record